This 234-nucleotide ribosomal RNA is filed under the name Enterococcus faecium. Its description in RNAcentral is "partial 16S ribosomal RNA". It matches the Rfam family "Bacterial small subunit ribosomal RNA", at positions 1 to 222 of the family's 1533-position model. Lineage: Bacteria; Bacillati; Bacillota; Bacilli; Lactobacillales; Enterococcaceae. The record is from RNAcentral.
UUUUAUGAGAGUUUGAUCCUGGCUCAGGACGAACGCUGGCGGCGUGCCUAAUACAUGCAAGUCGAACGCUUCUUUUUCCACCGGAGCUUGCUCCACCGGAAAAAGAGGAGUGGCGAACGGGUGAGUAACACGUGGGUAACCUGCCCAUCAGAAGGGGAUAACACUUGGAAACAGGUGCUAAUACCGUAUAACAAUCAAAACCGCAUGGUUUUGAUUUGAAAGGCGCUUUCGGGU